GCCGCUCCCUCCAGGGCCUCAGAGAACUCAGAGCACCAGGGUGGGGAGGGGUGAGGGUGGUGCAAUUAAUCAUGGCAUGUGUGUCUCUGUGUGUGUGUGUGUGCAAGUGUGUGUGGUAUUCAUUUACAGAACAAACAUUUCCUGAGCACUGGCAUGUGCCAGACACCGUUACAGGCACUGGAGAGAUAGCAGUGAAAAAACCAAUGGCCCCUGCCCCAGGAGGCAGAUGUCCCAGCCAGGGAGACCUAGGAGGCUGCAGGACCUGUGCCUAGCCUCUGGGGAGGGCCCGGCUGGCCUAUCUGCAGAGAGAGCCCACACUUCAAAUGGAGCAGCCUCUGGCCCCCAGGUUGGCUUGUUUGUGGACAGAAAGCUCUCUGGACCAGGCAUGAUGGCUCACACCUGUAAUCCCAGCACUUUGGGAGGCCAAGGCAGGAGGAUCACCUGAGGUCAGGAGUUUGAGACCAGCCUGA
This is a long non-coding RNA of Rhinopithecus roxellana (golden snub-nosed monkey), 470 nucleotides long. RefSeq lists it as uncharacterized. The transcript has 3 exons. The record is from RefSeq and is a predicted model, not a curated record. Lineage: Eukaryota; Metazoa; Chordata; Mammalia; Primates; Cercopithecidae.